This 301-nucleotide long non-coding RNA is filed under the name Mytilus galloprovincialis (Mediterranean mussel). Lineage: Eukaryota; Metazoa; Mollusca; Bivalvia; Mytilida; Mytilidae. The record is from RNAcentral.
CCAUUUUUAAAGAAAAUGGAGUCAGACAAGAUGACUUUUAAAAUAAAUGUUGAAGACAAAUGAAAGAAGUUUCAAAUGUCUUUGGAUUACAAAUAAAAAAUACACCAUGGACAACAUUUUUUUAUGUAACAUUGCGUAUUGUUAGAUCUAUUUGUGAUAUAUUUUAAAACAGAUUUGCCCCCGAUCCCAAUUAUUGAUAAAUUAACCCUAUCAAGUCAUGUUCGGGUUGCUUAUCCCAUUAUGUCAAUUUAAUGGAACUUUAAACAACUAGCAUACACGUAGAAUGGUUUAGCUAGCUAAA